UAAUCCAGGGGGUUCUUUUUUGUGAUGAUGCCAACAAGCGUCCUGCGGCAGUGAAGAGAAUUGAACGAGCAAAACAAAGCAGUGCUGAUCGAGAGGUCGCUUUGCUUCUUCAAUUGGACGACAAUCCCCAUGUCGUCCGCUACUUCUGCACUGAGAAGGACGGGCAAUUCCUAUACAUUGCCAUCGAGCUGUGUGCCGCCUCUUUAGAUAAGUGUUUUACUAAAGAAAAACCUUUUGACCUUCGUGGACUGAAACCAGUGAUGCUGCUGCAGCAGACCAUGAUAGGACUGGAACACCUGCACUCUCACAACAUAGUCCACCGUGAUGUGAAGCCCCACAACAUCCUGUUGAAAGACCACUCUGACUCAGUCACGGUCAAGAUCUCAGACUUUGGGAUGAGUAAGCAGUUGGUGGACGGCAGACAAAGCUACAGCAUGAGGUCGGGAGCCCUUGGCACCAUGGGCUGGAAUGCCCCAGAGGUCCUCGUGACUGCAGGAAAGUAAACCCUACCAGUGCUGUGGACAUCUUCUCUGCCGGCUGUGUGUUUUACUAUGUUGUGACAGGAGGAGAACAUCCAUUUGGAAAACCCAAUAGGCGGGCUGGUAACAUCGAGGAUGGCAAAUACAACCUUGACAGAUUACAGAAAGAAAAACAUGAGGACAUCGUGGCCACAGACCUGAUAGAACAGAUGCUGAGCAUUGGAGCCCCAGAGGAGGCCUUCUGCUGAGAGCGUGCUCAAACACCCCUUCUUCUGGAGCCUGAAGAAACAGCUGCAGUUCUUCCAGGACGUGAGUGACAGAAUUGUAAUGGAGACAUCGGAUGGUCCAAUCAUACAGCAGCUGGAGUCAAGGGGACAGGAAGUGGUGAAGAAUAACUGGAUGGAACAAAUCACAGCAGUUCUGCGGAAAGAUCUAGAAARACGUAAAGGAGCAUAUGAAGAGGGCUCUGUUAAAYGUCUUCUACGUGCCAUAAGAAACAAGAAACACCAUUACCACGAUUCUCCUAAGGAGGUCCAGGAGACUCUGGGCUCCAUCCCUGAUGACUUUGUCUCCUACUUCACCUCCCGCUUCCCCCACCUGCUGCUGCACACCUACCUCGCCAUGCGUUCCUUUGCUGAGGAGCGGACUUUCCAAGAUUACUACCUCGAGUUCAACACGAGACUUAGACGGCAGAAGAGAACACACCCAGAGCCUGACGUGACGACAACCAAGCCAACAACUAAAAAAAUGUGACCAUAGUGUGACGUCAGGCGCUCCGCUGAGAAGUACUCCAUCCCACACCAGCAAACCUCCAAUCUAUGUCAGUACACUGUAUUGUCAAGGUUAUUUUUACUGUUUACAUGAACAAUAUUGGUUUGUCUGAAGAAGAAGCAAUCACUUUCACUUGUAUGCAGAUGACAUUGUUGUGUAUGCUAUUUCCCCGAUGGCUGAUCAGGUUCUGUCAGAGCUUUAAUCUGCCUUUAUUGCCUUGCAGAAAGCCUUUAUUAACUGAAAUUGGUUCUUAAUGCAGGUUAAACCAAGUAUAUAUUAUAUUCCAAAUCACAUAAAAAUGUAUCUGAUGAUUUAUGCAUAAGUACAUUGGAUGGUGCCCUCAUUGAUUAUGUGCCCAACUAAUAKAUAUCUAGGCAUCUGGAUUGAU
Non-coding RNA from Salvelinus sp. IW2-2015, 1638 nucleotides. The record is from RefSeq and is a predicted model, not a curated record. NCBI's taxonomy places the organism in Eukaryota, Metazoa, Chordata, Actinopteri, Salmoniformes, Salmonidae.